CGCGUGGGAACGUGCCCUUCACUACGGAAUAGUCCCGGGAAACUGGGUUUAAUGCCGUAUACGCCCUUCGGGGGAAAGAAUUUCGGUGAGGGAUCGGCCCGCGUUAGAUUAGAUAGUUGGUGGGGUAAUGGCCUACCAAGUCUACGAUCUAUAGCUGGUUUUAGAGGAUGAUCAGCAACACUGGGACUGAGACACGGCCCAGACUCCUACGGGAGGCAGCAGUGGGGAAUCUUGGACAAUGGGCGCAAGCCUGAUCCAGCCAUGCCGCGUGAGUGAUGGAGGCCUUAGGGUCGUAAAGCUCUUUCGCCUGUGAAGAUAAUGACUGUAGCAGGUAAAGAAACCCCGGCUAACUCUGUG
This 357-nucleotide ribosomal RNA is filed under the name uncultured bacterium. RNAcentral's name for it is "bacterial SSU rRNA". It matches the Rfam family "Bacterial small subunit ribosomal RNA", at positions 114 to 507 of the family's 1533-position model. RNAcentral also lists the same sequence under 1 other name. The record is from RNAcentral.